Molecule: ribosomal RNA, 364 nt
Filed under: Rhodococcus qingshengii
Lineage: Bacteria; Bacillati; Actinomycetota; Actinomycetes; Mycobacteriales; Nocardiaceae
Description: bacterial SSU rRNA
Rfam family: Bacterial small subunit ribosomal RNA
Source: RNAcentral
GUAAGGCCUUUCGGGGUACACGACGCGGCGAACGGGUGAGUAACACGUGGUUGAUCUGCCCUGCACUUCGGGAUAAGCCUGGGAAACUGGGUCUAAUACCGGAUAUGACCUCCGAUCGCAUGCCGGGGGGUGGAAAGAUUUAUCGGUGCAGGAUGGGCCCGCGGCCUAUCAGCUUGUUGGUGGGGUAAUGGCCUACCAAGGCGACGACGGGUAGCCGACCUGAGAGGAUGACCGUCCACACUGGGACUGAGACACGGCCCAACUAUAUACGGGUGGCAGGUGUGGGGAAUAUUGCACAAUGGGCGAAAGCCGGAUGCAGCGACCCCGCGUUAGGGAUGACGGCCUUCGGGUUGGAAACUUCUUU